UACAGAGGGGGCAAGCGUUGUUCGGAAUUACUGGGCGUAAAGGGCGCGUAGGCGGCCUUCUAAGUCGAACGUGAAAUCCCCGGGCUCAACCCGGGAACUGCGUCCGAUACUGGAAGGCUUGAAUCCGGGAGAGGGAUGCGGAAUUCCAGGUGUAGCGGUGAAAUGCGUAGAUAUCUGGAGGAACACCGGUGGCGAAGGCGGCAUCCUGGACCGGCAUUGACGCUGAGGCGCGAAAGCCAGGGGAGCAAACAGG
This 253-nucleotide ribosomal RNA is filed under the name uncultured bacterium. RNAcentral's name for it is "partial 16S ribosomal RNA". It matches the Rfam family "Bacterial small subunit ribosomal RNA", at positions 524 to 776 of the family's 1533-position model. The record is from RNAcentral.